GACGAACGCUGGCGGCGUGCUUAACACAUGCAAGUCGAACGGAAAGGCCCUGCUUUUGUGGGGUGCUCGAGUGGCGAACGGGUGAGUAACACGUGAGUAACCUGCCCUUGACUUUGGGAUAACUUCAGGAAACUGGGGCUAAUACCGGAUAGGAGCUCCUGCUGCAUGGUGGGGGUUGGAAAGUUUCGGCGGUUGGGGAUGGACUCGCGGCUUAUCAGCUUGUUGGUGGGGUAGUGGCUUACCAAGGCUUUGACGGGUAGCCGGCCUGAGAGGGUGACCGGCCACAUUGGGACUGAGAUACGGCCCAGACUACUACGGGAGGCAGCAGUGGGGAAUAUUGCACAAUGGGCGGAAGCCUGAUGCAGCAACGCCGCGUGCGGGAUGAGGGCCUUCGGGUUGUAAACCGCUUUCGCCUGUGACGAAGCGUGAGUGACGGUAAUGGGUAAAGAAGCACCGGCUAACUACGUG
Molecule: ribosomal RNA, 468 nt
Filed under: uncultured bacterium
Lineage: Bacteria
Description: partial 16S ribosomal RNA
Rfam family: Bacterial small subunit ribosomal RNA
Source: RNAcentral